Molecule: ribosomal RNA, 253 nt
Filed under: uncultured bacterium
Lineage: Bacteria
Description: partial 16S ribosomal RNA
Rfam family: Bacterial small subunit ribosomal RNA
Source: RNAcentral
UACGGAGGGGGCUAGCGUUGUUCGGAAUUACUGGGCGUAAAGCGCACGUAGGCGGCUUUGUAAGUUAGAGGUGAAAGCCCGGGGCUCAACUCCGGAAUUGCCUUUAAGACUGCAUCGCUAGAAUUGUGGAGAGGUAAGUGGAAUUCCGAGUGUAGAGGUGAAAUUCGUAGAUAUUCAGAAGAACACCAGUGGCGAAGGCGACUUACUGGACACAUAUUGACGCUGAGGUGCGAAAGCGUGGGGAGCAAACAGG